Molecule: non-coding RNA, 29 nt
Filed under: Homo sapiens (human)
Lineage: Eukaryota; Metazoa; Chordata; Mammalia; Primates; Hominidae
Source: RNAcentral
UAGCUGGUCUCACAAGACACUUUGUGCCC